AUACGGAGGGGGCUAGCGUUGUUCGGAAUUACUGGGCGUAAAGCGUACGUAGGCGGACUGAUCAGUUGGGGGUGAAAUCCCAGGGCUUAACCCUGGAACUGCCUUCAAUACUGUCAGUCUUGAGUUUGGGAGAGGUGAGUGGAAUUCCUGGUGUAGAGGUGAAAUUCAUAGAUAUUAGGAGGAACACCAGUGGCGAAGGCGGCUCACUGGCCCAUUACUGACGCUGAGGUACGAAAGCGUGGGGAGCAAACAGGAUUAGAAACCCUAGUAGUCC
RNAcentral lists this ribosomal RNA (274 nucleotides) under uncultured bacterium. RNAcentral describes it as "partial 16S ribosomal RNA". It matches the Rfam family "Bacterial small subunit ribosomal RNA", at positions 523 to 796 of the family's 1533-position model. The record is from RNAcentral.